CCUGCCCACUGAGAAGUUGAAGGGCUGCAGUAUUUUAACUGUACAAAGGUAGCAUAAUCAUUAGUUUUUUAAUUGGAGGCUGGUAUGAAUGGUUUGACGAAAAUUAGCUGUCUUUACUAUAAGUAGGUGAAAUUAAUUUUUUUGUGAAAAAGCAGAAAUAAGUUAAAGGGACGAGAAGACCCUAUUAAACUUAAAUAUAUAAAUUUAAUUAUUGGUUAAUAAAUUAAUAGUUGGAUGGUGUGUUUUAUUUGGGGCGAAUAAUAUAAUUAAACAAUAUUUAUAUAUAAUAGUUUUGAUAGAAUAUUUUUGAUCCAAGUGGAUUGAUUUGAAGAGUUAGUUACUAUAGGGAUAACAGCGUAAUAUUUCUUGAGAGUUCAUAUUGACAGGGAUGUUUGCGACCUCGAUGUUGGAUUAAGAGUUCUUUUUAAUGCAGAUGUUAAAAUAGUGAUGGUCUGUUCGACCAGUAAUUUCUUACAUGAUCUGAGUUCAAACCGGUG
RNAcentral lists this ribosomal RNA (497 nucleotides) under Glyphiulus sp. 3 YZ-2022a. RNAcentral describes it as "partial large subunit ribosomal RNA". It matches the Rfam family "Bacterial large subunit ribosomal RNA", at positions 1858 to 2621 of the family's 2925-position model. Lineage: Eukaryota; Metazoa; Arthropoda; Diplopoda; Spirostreptida; Cambalopsidae. The record is from RNAcentral.